RNAcentral lists this ribosomal RNA (861 nucleotides) under uncultured bacterium. RNAcentral's name for it is "bacterial SSU rRNA". It matches the Rfam family "Bacterial small subunit ribosomal RNA", at positions 8 to 916 of the family's 1533-position model. The record is from RNAcentral.
AGAGUUUGAUCAUGGCUCAGGAUGAACGCUGGCGGUGUGCCUUAAGCAUGCAAGUCGAACGCUCCGCAAGGAGAGUGGCAGACGGGUGAGUAACACGUAGGAAUCUACCUCGAAGUGGGGGAUAGCCUCUCGAAAGGGAGGGUAAUACCGCAUACGAUCGCAAGAUCAAAGCCGUAAGGCGCUUUGAGAGGAGCCUGCGUCCUAUCAGCUAGUUGGUGAGGUAAUGGCUUACCAAGGCUAUGACGGGUAACCGGUGUGAGAGCACGAUCGGUCACAAGGUUACUGAGACACGGAACCUACACCUACGGGUGGCAGCAACUGGGAAUCUUGCGCAAUGGACGAAAGUCUGACGCAGCGACACCGCGUGCGGGAUGAAGCUCUUAGGAGUGUAAACCGCUGUGGCGAGGGAUGAAUUUUGACAGUACCUCGCUAGAAAGCACCUGCUAACCACGUGCCAGAAGCCUCGGUAAUACGUGGGGUGCAAGCGUUAUCCGGAUUUACUGGGCGUAAAGCGUACCGUCGGCGACUUGAUAAGUUUCCUGUUUAAGCCCAAGGCUCAACUUUGGAUCAGCAGGAAAAACUAUCAGGAUUGAGUCUGUUCGGGGAAGUUGGAAUUCUCGGUGGAGGGGUGAAAUCCGUAGAUAUCGAGAGGAACGCCAAGCGCGAAGGCAGACUUCUAGGACACGACUGACGCUCAGGGACGAAAGCUCGGGGAGCAAAAGGGAUUAGAGACCCCUGUAGUCCGAGCCGUAAAUUUUGAAUGCUAGCUGGUUCCGCUUUGCGGGACUGGCGCAAGCUAACGCGUUAAGCAUUCCGCCUGGGGAGUACGGCCGCAAGGCUAAAACUCAAAGGAAUUGACGG